Molecule: small RNA, 512 nt
Filed under: uncultured Glomus
Lineage: Eukaryota; Fungi; Glomeromycota; Glomeromycetes; Glomerales; Glomeraceae
Description: SSU rRNA
Rfam family: Eukaryotic small subunit ribosomal RNA
Source: RNAcentral
CGCAGCCGCGGUAAUUCCAGCUCCAAUAGCGUAUAUUAAAGUUGCUGCAGUUAAAAAGCUCGUAGUUGAAUUUCGGGACCAAUAUGUCGGUCGUGCUUUUGUACGUACUGAUAUAAUUGGUUUCUCCCUUCUGAAGAACCUUGAUGUCAUUAAUUUGGUGUCUUGGGGAAUCAGGACUGUUACUUUGAAAAAAUUAGAGUGUUUAAAGCAGGCUCGCGCUUGAAUACAUUAGCAUGGAAUAAUGAAAUAGGACGUUUGAUUCUAUUUUGUUGGUUUCUAGGAUCGACGUAAUGAUUAAUAGGGAUAGUUGGGGGCAUUAGUAUUCAAUUGUCAGAGGUGAAAUUCUUGGAUUUAUUGAAGACUAACUACUGCGAAAGCAUUUGCCAAGGAUGUUUUCAUUAAUCAAGAACGAAAGUUAGGGGAUCGAAGACGAUCAGAUACCGUCGUAGUCUUAACCAUAAACUAUGCCGACUAGGGAUCGGAUGAUGUAAUUUUUUAAUGACUCAUUCGGC